This 473-nucleotide long non-coding RNA is filed under the name Oryza sativa (Asian cultivated rice). RNAcentral describes it as "long non-coding RNA (OSAT_LNC001970)". The record is from RNAcentral. Lineage: Eukaryota; Viridiplantae; Streptophyta; Magnoliopsida; Poales; Poaceae.
UCCACGAAACCCUAGCAAAGGGCAUAUAUACCCUCCGGCUUGGGCCUCCGCUCCGCUUCGUCAGAAGCCCGGCCAAUAUCUUGAAGUGAAUUUGGAACAACUCCAACACGGUACUAUGAAAGAAAAAAAAAUUUCCUUAGGACUGAAACUUCCGAAAUUUCACAAAAAAACUAAUAUCUAGGGGAAGAACUAUUAAUUUACAAAACAAAAAAAGGAAACUUUUGGCCGGAAGAAUUUCGUUGCACAGAACUUGUAAAGAACAAAAAUUUCCGAAAAUUUCAAUCCCAAAUAACAAAUACAAAAUACCAUUUCCUGGUAAAAAGAACUCAAUUCAGAAAAAAAAAGAGGAGGCAAAACAAAACGUGAGAGUGGCUUUACUGGAUUUAGCAACGUAGGUUGGUAAAGAGUGGCGCAGUUUGAACUGAUCGAGCUGGAGAAAGGCUCCAAAGGGAAAAAGGAGCAAGAGAAGCCGG